Heterocephalus glaber (naked mole-rat) is the source of this 1029-nucleotide long non-coding RNA. Lineage: Eukaryota; Metazoa; Chordata; Mammalia; Rodentia; Bathyergidae. The record is from Ensembl.
CCUCCAUUGACUUAGGUCACCACCCUUGCCUCUGAUGUUUCAUUUUUGGGAAAUAAACCGUGAUGUGUUCAGGCAUGAUAUACUUAUGUCUGUUUAUACUAAAGCCUAACUAGCCUAUCUUACUCCACUAGUUGAAGAUGGCACCAACCCAGUCUAACAGAGUCAGUUCUCUUUUCUAAUUCCGGCCAGACUAGAGCAAAAGAGCUGGAAUCAAAGGAGAAAGAGAGAGAAAUGGAAGAGCAAACAAUAGCCUUCUACCCUCCAUUUCCAGCACAAGCUGGAGGCAAACAAAAAGAUGAGAUUGGAGCUCAACUGGUAGAAAAAAAGUCCGUAACUCAAAGGAGAUCAGCUACUUCUGCAGCAGGCCCUAUGCUAAUUACUUUAUAAGUACUCAUUCUUUCAACUUACACCAGCUCUAUGAGGCACUUCCUGUUUGAUCUUCCAGAAAACGUCUUUCUCUACAUCUACUCACUGCUCUAAAACUGCCAUGGCCUGGGCAUCACCAACAACAGCAUUUCUCACUCUGUAGCCCAUGGACCUUCGGCAGACAAGUCACCUGAAAUCAUGUUCAUAAUGCUAAUUCUUGGUUGAAACUCAGACCUGUAGAAUCAGAAUCUCUACAGAUUUGGCUGUGCAAUCCGUAUUCUGAAAAGCAUACUAGGUCUAACUAGUAAGGCCUAAGGAAAGCAAUUUAAAUCACCACAUUUGGCAUCUAAGACUUCAUACUCUCUUCCCUAUGUUCUCUCUCCCAGUGAGCCCUAGUGUUCAUGCCCCCAAUCUACCCAAGAAGCUAGUUUUGGACUUUUUUUGACUGUUAAAAUAUACAUCCUCAUGGUUAGUUUAAUUAUUUUAUUUAAACUACAGAUGACAGUUUUUCAUUAUUUUCCUUUCAAUUUUGACUGCAGAAAGAGAGAAAAAAAAAAGACAAGCGAGCCAGUAGUGAUAAUUUCCAAGAGGCAAGCAUUGAAAGGACUUAGGAUAAGAGUUCAUUUAAUUUCAUUUUAUGCAAAUAAAAUAAAAUAAUAAGAC